UGCAAAAUCUAAUAUAUGCGGCCA
RNAcentral lists this non-coding RNA (24 nucleotides) under Arabidopsis thaliana (thale cress). The record is from RNAcentral. Lineage: Eukaryota; Viridiplantae; Streptophyta; Magnoliopsida; Brassicales; Brassicaceae.